Molecule: long non-coding RNA, 5634 nt
Filed under: Brassica napus (rape)
Lineage: Eukaryota; Viridiplantae; Streptophyta; Magnoliopsida; Brassicales; Brassicaceae
Description: long non-coding RNA (BNAP_LNC004528)
Source: RNAcentral
AACAAUCUAUCUGCUUUUGGUGCUUCUGGUCCAUCCUCUGCUGCUUCUAGAAUGAGGGGGAACCAAGAAGAGCCAAGGAGAAUGCCUGUGCAAUAUACGCCUUCAUCGUAUCAGGUUCAAGCUACUUCGCCACAACAAAUGACCUAUCCGAGGAUGGGUGGUGGUACACACGACAUGAUGCAGAACCUGCCUAGGAUUGCAACUGGAGAGGUACAUUCGAGUUUCCAAUCUCCUCACGGUUUGACAUCGCCUCCUAUGUAUACAUCAACAGCUGCAUAUAUGACAUCUCUGAGCCCGUUUUACAAUCAUAACUUUCAGUCCUCGGGUAUGUACCUCCCUCAGUAUGGUUAUAGCGGUUACCCUCCUGCCUCUGGUGUUGUCCCUCAGUAUAUGAGUGGAUACCCAUCUCAUGAAGCCACUGUUCCUAUGCCAUAUGAUAUCUCAUCGCCUUCUUCGGGCUACAACAACUCCUUCUCUCGUGAAUCCUUUUCACCUACUGCACAGAACACUCCUCUAGUGGAUCCUUUUCAGCUGCAAUAUUAUCAACAGGCUCAAGCAGAGGCAUAUGCUCCUUCGUUUGAUUCCUUUGGGAAGCAAGACCAACAAGCUACUGGCUUUAUGGCUAAUCAAGAACCUCACAGCAACCCUUUGAGUCCAAGUUUUGGGUUGCAAAGUCCACGGCACAUGGGAAACUACUUUGCAGUGCCACCGGGUGUGAGAGUCAUGCAACAGUAUCCAGGAUCACCUCUUGCUAGUCCAGUGAUGCCAUCCUCACCGGUUGGUGGGAUGAUGAGCCAGUUUGGAAGACGAAGUGACACAAGGUAUCAUCAUCAACAAGGACCUAGUAGAAACACAGGGAUCUACCCUGGUGGAUGGCAAGGGAACAGAGGAGGAGCUAGCAGCAGCAGCGUCGAUGAUUUUAAAAGACAUUCUUUUCUUGAUGAACUCAAGUCUCCAAAUGCUCGUAAAAUGGAGCUGUCUGAUAUCACAGGGCGUGUUAUUGAGUUCAGGUAUUGUUUAUAUUCUGAUAUCUAUCGUUUUCUUUAAUUCUGAGUGAAAGCAUCAAAAGAUAAUAUCAUUUUUUUUCUUGACUUCAGCGUUGAUCAGCAUGGCAGCCGGUUUAUCCAAAAAAAAAAUUGACUAGAAUAAUCACUAUAUACACAAAGAAUGAUAAAUAAUAUUAUAUUUACAUAAAAAACGUAUUUUGUAAAAAAAAUUUGGAAACUUAUUCAUGUAAAACCAAUGUCAUACACUCUUGUGGAGAGGGAAAGCUAGUUAUUGUAAAAUUACUUUUCGAAUUUAAUCUUUUAGCUUAUAAAAUAGGAUACAAAUGACAAAAGUCAGAAUCGUUUUCUCAAAAAAAUAUUAAUUAAUUAAAAUAGCAACUUUUAAAAAUUGCUUAGAUUUGCUUUUAAUAUUACAAACUAGAUUCCAAUUCACACUUCUAAAGUGUGGAAUUCUUUUUUUUUUGUAAAAUUUAGUUAGAGAGUUGAUAUACUUUUUGUUUUUUUUAUCUAAUUUAUAUUUUUAUUAUAACUAAAUUUUACAGUUUAAGUUGUAAAAAUUAUCUCAUCAAAUCAGUAACAAUAACAACAAUAUAUUAAUAUCUACAAACUUCUCCAGGAUAUUUUUGGUUUUUAUUUACAAAAUGUAAUUUAAUUUAAACUAUCUAUCUAUACUAUUAUUUAAGAAUUGAUUUCGCUUAUUUAUUACAUUUUUUAUGAUUUUAGGAUAAAUCACUAGUUCAAUUAAUUUAUAUUAUUAGAAAAUAUUUUAAUAUAUAUUUAUUUAUCAUAUAACUAAACUUAUUUAUGAUUAAGUUAUUCUUUAAUUUUUAGUUUCAAUUGUUGUAUAUUUUGAUUUACGUUACUAAUUUUAUUUGACAAUAUACACAAAAUGUUCUUUGAAUGAUUAUUUGAUCAGUGGACAGAAGCAUAUGGCCUUUAACAGAUCAUGGAUCCUACACAGUUGAAAGCGGGUACUGGUUGGCAGCCAACAAUUUCAACGCGUCUAUGUCUGCUUUAUCUCCAGGUGAAAAGACGAUCAUUGAUCCGAAGAAGAAGAUUUGAAAAUUCAAAACUCUGCCUAAGAUAAGAAUGUUUAUAUGGCGAGCUGUCUCUAGAGCGUUAGCAGUAGCAGAUAGACUUCAAACAAGAGGUGUGUGUAAGAUUAACUUUUAUGAUUUCAAUUAUGAAAUCUACCCAAGACCAAAAUAGAUUUAUCUUAAUUCAACCUUACUAGUUUUUCUAAAAGAAGAAGAGAGAAACACUAACCUUGAUCCAUGCUUGGAUACAAUUCCACCAAUUGAUCUUCUCGAUCCUUAACCUUUGACUUUCAAGAUUCCUUUGAUGGAGAGGAAUCAACCGUGUCUUUCUCUCUUUGACAUUGUCUUUUGUUACGUUAAUAUUAUUACCAAGGAGGGAACAUGUGGGUUAUAUAUUAUGUAAAUGGUUGUGAUGGUAAUGGUUGUGAUGGUUCACGACAAUUACCAUGUAACCACUUUUCUAUGUAGCCACAUUUUAUGUAACCCCCAUUUAUAUGUAUAUAGUAUCAUCUUUAUGUAGUUUAUAUAAACCAACUACAAAUACUAUAUACACAUAUAAAUAAACAAUAGAGAAAUACACUAAUACUAAAAUGGUAAGGAUAAAGGGUUAUCAAUACACCCGAUACUAAUAUUUUAAUUGAAACCAAUCUAUCACGGUAUCGUCUUUUAUAUUAGAAUCCAUAACAUUAAUAUGAACUUGAUCUUUAUACUGAACCAAUAGACACAUAUGUCAUAUAAGAAUAUAAAUAUUCUUACAGUGUGCUGAUAGACAUGGAAUGCAAGCAGUGCAACAAUGAAAUCGACUCUAUAAAUCAUGCUUUGUUUGAGUGUAUUCCAGCGCAAGACAUUUUACGGAUUGUUAACUUUCCUCCGUCUACAACGCCAGCUAGAAGUCUCGGUGAUAAUAUGAGUAUAGCUCUGGAGUUAAUGCAUGACUGUUCUGUUCCCGGAAACCUCUAGGAGAGCCAUUCCAUGGCUGCUAUGGACGAUAUGGAAGAACCGCAACUCGCUGGCACACAAACUGCUAUAGAUUCUGUAAUACUCAUAUUUUCCAAAAUAAAAUAACAAAUAAUAAUUCUGAAAUCUUUAUUUAUUAAUCUUCAUAAAUCAUCUCCAAACACCAUAAAUCUAAUAAAUAGUUAUAAAUCCAGAUAAUCGAAUAAAUUCCAAAAAUACGAUAAAAGCAUAAAAUCAAGUCAAUAAAAGAAAGAAAUAAAACGCCCAAAAACAUCAAUCACUCAUGUCAGUCAGUCUCACUUGAAAGAGAGAAAAAAAAAGAGGUGAGUAACAGGAAGGUCACUCAGUGAGGUAUAGGAUGUCAAACACGCAAACUACUGACUCGAGUAAAUAAAACUUCCACUAUAAAAGUGUAGCUCUAACAUGAACAACCAAGAUGCCUAAACCACCAUACACAACACACGAUGCGCUGAUAGAGUGCAUAACUAGAUCACGCACUCCGCAUUCUCUUUAUAUGGAUAUAUAAAUGUGCAUCGUCGCUAGUACAGUUUGUCUCUCUACCCCGUCCACCCCAGUAACGUCGAUGGUACAAAGGUUUUUGCACUACAUGCCCAACACAAGUAGCAUCGCUAGCCCAGAUAUCUCUGAACCCUCGCCCGCACAAUCACAGCAGCGUCGCUAGCCAAACAUCUUUGAGCCCCACCACGCACAUAGUCCCUACUCAUAAUUAUGUAUACAUAUAUACACAUAUAUACCAUAUUCUAACAACCACAAUCUAAUCAACGUUUGAAUCCUCUAGACCCCUAGUUCUGGUUUACAAUGAAUGAAAUAACUAUCAAUCACGACUCAUACAUGAUUCGAAAUCUGAAUUAACAUAGGAUGAAUUCUACACUAGUAAGAAAUUAUGGAAUAGAUCAUAACCUUAACCAAGAUCGGAGGUAUAUCAGGAAAUGCUAGGAUACCGAUGUGCCUUGUACAAACAAGACUUGGUCUAGGCCAUUACUGUCCAAGUCAAUUAACCCGAAAGAUCAUGUUUGUUCCUGCGCAUGACAUAUUAGGGUUUAUGUUCCAAGGAUUGCUUGCGCUACAAGAAAUAUAGGAUGUACCACUUAAUUAACAAAGCUCAAGCUCACGGUAAUAUAUACUUCAUCUCCGAUGACAUGACUUACUCCUCCUUGUGGCUCGUGAAGCCGUGAUCAACGAUGGUGGUGGUUGGUGUUAAACACCGCAGCUCCAUUUAUGGUCACGUCUUUUCUACGUCUAGUACGUAACUACCACAAGCACUGCCAACAAAAUUAUUAUCACAAAGCUUUGUCUCUGUUGAUUACAGCUAUGGUAUUUGGUGGUGAUAAUAACAUGACGUACCAAUAUUGAAGCACAUAAUCGGAUGUGGUGAUCGAGAGUGAGUGACGUAAGUCGUGAUGGAACGUGACGGCUCCGGUUUCACUUUCUCAUCUCGUCUUGAUCACAUUCCCACAACACCAAUCACAACAACGAUGGCUCUUCUCCAGUGAUGGAAGAGAACUUUGAUUUGAUGAGAAAAGGUGGAUGGAGAAGAAAAUGGUUCAGGGAUGGUUGAAUCUCCAUUGACGGCACAUAGCUUUAGGUUUUUUAGGAGGAGACUUAUAAUUAACAAUUAAAUAUAUAAUUAAGCAUAUGGUUUUACAAAACCACUAAGAAAUAACGAUUUAGGUUGUGGUCCAAUAAUUAAUCAAAACCGGGUCGUUACAGAAUCGUUGGUGGAUCAGGCGCUGGAGGAAGCUACAAUCUGGACUGGAGUUAACAAGAGUAAUGGACCAAGCUUGAUUCAUCCUUCUUCCAUAGAAAGUAUGUCAACGCUGGCAGGCUCCCAUCACAGCCAGGGUAAAAUGCAACGCAAAGUUCAACCAACACUCAGAAUGAGAGAUCAAAUGCGAGGGUAGGGAGCCGCGAGGACAACAAUCUAUCUGCUUUUGGUGCUUCUGGUCCAUCCUCUGCUGCUUCUAGAAUGAGGGGGAACCAAGAAGAGCCAAGGAGAAUGCCUGUGCAAUAUACGCCUUCAUCGUAUCAGGUUCAAGCUACUUCGCCACAACAAAUGACCUAUCCGAGGAUGGGUGGUGGUACACACGACAUGAUGCAGAACCUGCCUAGGAUUGCAACUGGAGAGGUACAUUCGAGUUUCCAAUCUCCUCACGGUUUGACAUCGCCUCCUAUGUAUACAUCAACAGCUGCAUAUAUGACAUCUCUGAGCCCGUUUUACAAUCAUAACUUUCAGUCCUCGGGUAUGUACCUCCCUCAGUAUGGUUAUAGCGGUUACCCUCCUGCCUCUGGUGUUGUCCCUCAGUAUAUGAGUGGAUACCCAUCUCAUGAAGCCACUGUUCCUAUGCCAUAUGAUAUCUCAUCGCCUUCUUCGGGCUACAACAACUCCUUCUCUCGUGAAUCCUUUUCACCUACUGCACAGAACACUCCUCUCGUGUUAUUCAACAAAAAUGAAAGUAAAUGACUUUUCCAAUCCAUUAUUUUGAAAUCUGUUGUUAUUUGUUUAUGAUUCUACAUACCUUUCUUUAUAAAAUCUAAUAAGCAAAGUAUCGCAAUAUUGUCAAAAUCUUUUUAAAAAUUGGAUGAGAUAUAAUUAAAUAAUAGGUCAGUUUCUU